AUGCUGGGGCUCCUGAAGACCCGCGUCCCGAGGAAAGGGAAGUUGGAGACCGAGUCGGUCCCCGCACUGUGACGCUCCCGGCGGGGUAGCAGCGCAGAGACGAAAUGCUUCCAUAAAGGGGCCAGGAGAAAGUGGACAUUCACCUCUCCAUCUCAAACAAGUAUCCUUGUGCAAGCCUUCAAGAAGAACUGAUUUCCUGGCAUUGCAACCAGAGAAGAAUUGGCUUGUCAAACAGGAAUUCCAGAAUCUCAAGUCCAGAUGUGGUUUCAGAACUGAAGAGCUCUGCACCCAGAGCAGAGCAGAGGUGGGCCCGUGAAGGUACUGGCAGAAGGCCCCAAUGCCGGACUAGCUCUGACUGUUUCGUGGGACCAGAGCCACCUGUCCACUGCCCACAGUAGCUCUCAUCAUUUUCCUCCCUCCAGUCUGCUUGAGAGCAUCCAGUCCUUGGCCACAGCAGCUCCUUUUCUCUCCCCCACGUUCUUUGUUCCUCGUGUUCCCUCUGGGGGCAUGGGGGCUCGUCACUGAGGUCCAUGGUGGUGCAGCCCACUCCGCUGUGCAGGGAAGAGAGAAGCUGAACCUCUGGGAGCAGUUGCAAGUCACUCCUAAGCAGGACCAAAUCUGGGACUGGGUCUCCACCUGUUCACACAGCUCUCUGGCCUCCAUCCCAGGGAACAUGCCAGGAGAACAACCUGCACACUGGCCUGGCCGCACUCCCCCUCCAAGCCUGCCCUCAGCCUGACCUUGGCAAUCGUCAGCCGCACUUGCAGGAUCGGGCUCGGCCAUGCACAUCCCAAGCCAUGCAGUGGUGGCGCUAGGGGACCCAAGUUGUCAUCUCCAGAUGGGAGCCUCAGGAAUGGAGGAUUCUGCAGCCUGCACAGGCUGAGACACACGUCUGGCCACAGCAGGCACGCAGGUGAAGAGACAUCUCCUCCGCUGGACCAGCACCCAGCACUUGGAAGCUCAUCCAGCCUCUUAGAUGGACUCUUGUCAGCCUCAGACAUUCAGGGCAAGGCACAGCCUUUCCUGAAGGCGGAUGCACGGGGAGAGGAACCACCGGGAAUCCCGGAAGCAGCCCUCGGCAAGGAAGAUUUCAGGCUCUUCUCGACACGCUCCCAAGCUCACCAGGGCCUCAGACUUGGGAGGAGGAAGGAAACCUUCUCCCGAGCCCCUUCCAGGCCUUCUUUCCUGGGAUGCAGGGCCAUAAUGAUAAAAAGAAGGAACAAGCAACCCUUAGUGUUUGGGAGCAGCACCUAGGCAAGAAGACCCAUCCUUCACUUGAAACCCCUCUGUCCUAUUGGCGGCACUUUGUUGCCUCAGUGAGUGUUGCCCAGCUCCACACAAGCUCUUAGGAAGCAUGGACACCAGGAGGGGCGCCCUUCCUGAAGCCUUAAGGAAAUCUAGCAUUGUAAUGACAAAGGUGACCCAACUCUUCUGUCUGCGCCAUCCCUGAACUGGAAUCAAAACAAGUCAAGGAGAUUAGGUAGAAGAAGGACUCAUUCACACACGUUACCUUCCUGGCAAGAUGGGAAGGUAUAUCUGAAGUGUGCUUGGUGUAUAGAAGAGGAGGGGAUGUGACAUGGCUCAAACAUGUGGGUCCAGGAACGUGAGCUCUUAUCAUGGCUGUGAAUGUCGGCUCUGGCGACUGGAAGCAACUUAAGCCUCUAACUAGCGAGGAUUGCUUCAAAGCUUCAGUCCUUCAUACAGUGGAGACGUUGCAUAUUAUUUGCCCCGGGAACAUUUGCAAUAUAAAAAAUGGCGGGGAAAGGUACAAUAGCAUCUCUAACCCAUGACUCAGGAAAGGAUAGGAACUUUGCUCUUUCCAUCAUUUUAGCAUGUUUGUAUGUAUGGGCCUGUAUAUGUACCUGUACUUUUUCCAUGUGGAUUUUGAAAAAAGUCUGUGUUCUGAGGCUCUUCCAUCAACAGGACCUGCUGCCUUCCUUUGAAAAGUGUGCCUUGGGGGCUUCCCUGGUGGCGCAGUGGUUGAGAGUCCGCCUGCCGAUGCAGGGGACAUGGGUUCAUGCCCCGGUCCGGGAAGAUCCCACAUGCCGCGGAGCGGCUGGGCCCGUGAGCCAUGGCCGCUGAGCCUGCGUGUCCGGAGCCUGUGCUCCGCAACAGGAGAGGCCACAACAGUGACAGGGCCACGUACCGCAAAAAAAAAAAAAAAAAAAAAAGUGUGCCUUGGAUUUUCAGGUUGUAUGUGACAUUCCACUGAUUCAACACAUAUGUCUUUGAACUCAGUCU
Long non-coding RNA from Orcinus orca (killer whale), 2241 nucleotides. RefSeq lists it as uncharacterized. The transcript has 3 exons. The record is from RefSeq and is a predicted model, not a curated record. NCBI's taxonomy places the organism in Eukaryota, Metazoa, Chordata, Mammalia, Artiodactyla, Delphinidae.